AUCUACAGUGUUGUAUUAUCGAGCCAUACGUUAAUGAGGUUCGAGCACUAGCGAUUUCAUGUAUAAAUACUUGUUGCUACAAGGUUCAUCCAUAUCCUUUGGAACAAUUGUCCAAACUAUUGAUGAUGAAGGAAUCGGAUGUGGAAUCCCUUUGUCAUGCAUGCGGUCUCGAGACUUUGAU
Hibiscus syriacus is the source of this 181-nucleotide long non-coding RNA. RefSeq lists it as uncharacterized. The transcript has 3 exons. The record is from RefSeq and is a predicted model, not a curated record. Lineage: Eukaryota; Viridiplantae; Streptophyta; Magnoliopsida; Malvales; Malvaceae.